RNAcentral lists this ribosomal RNA (324 nucleotides) under uncultured eukaryote. RNAcentral describes it as "partial 18S ribosomal RNA". It matches the Rfam family "Eukaryotic small subunit ribosomal RNA", at positions 1470 to 1796 of the family's 1831-position model. The record is from RNAcentral.
CCCUUAGAUGUCCUGGGCUGCACGCGCGCUACACUGAUGUGUCCAGUAAGCACCUAACCUCUUCCGAAAGGAACGGGUAACCUUUGCAAAGCACAUCGUGAUGGGGAUAGAUUAUUGCAAUUAUUAGUCUUGAACGAGGAAUUCCUAGUAAGCACAAGUCAUCAGCUUGUGUUGAUUACGUCCCUGCCCUUUGUACACACCGCCCGUUGCUCCUACCGAUUGAAUGUUCCGGUGAGCUCUUCGGACUGCGCGGUCUGCAGUUUCUGCGUUCCGUGCGGAAAGUUGCGCAAACCUUAACAUUUAGAGGAAGGAGAAGUCGUAACA